RNAcentral lists this ribosomal RNA (1984 nucleotides) under Glaesserella parasuis. Its description in RNAcentral is "partial 23S ribosomal RNA". It matches the Rfam family "Bacterial large subunit ribosomal RNA", at positions 1 to 1900 of the family's 2925-position model. The record is from RNAcentral. Lineage: Bacteria; Pseudomonadati; Pseudomonadota; Gammaproteobacteria; Pasteurellales; Pasteurellaceae.
AGUUAAGUGACUAAGCGUACACGGUGGAUGCCUAGGCAAUCAGAGGCGAAGAAGGACGUGCUAAUCUGCGAAAAGCUUGGAUGAGUUGAUAAGAAGCGUUUAAUCCAAGAUAUCCGAAUGGGGAAACCCGAUGGAUGAAGAAUCCAUCAUUUCAUUAUGAAUCCAUAGUAAUGAAAGGCAAACCGGGAGAACUGAAACAUCUAAGUACCCCGAGGAAAAGAAAUCAACCGAGAUUUUGUAAGUAGCGGCGAGCGAAAGCGAAAGAGCCAGUGAGUGAUAACAGCAAAGACAGAAGAAUUGGCUGGGAAGCCAAGCGAGACAGGGUGAUAGCCCCGUAUUCGAAGUUUAUGUUGUGGUACUAAACUUGCAACAAGUAGGGCGGGACACGAGAAAUCCUGUUUGAAGAUGGGGGGACCAUCCUCCAAGGCUAAAUACUCCUGAUUGACCGAUAGUGAACCAGUACUGUGAAGGAAAGGCGAAAAGAACCCCAGUGAGGGGAGUGAAAUAGAACCUGAAACCGUGUACGUACAAGCAGUGGGAGCCCGAAAGGGUGACUGCGUACCUUUUGUAUAAUGGGUCAGCGACUUAUAUUUUGUAGCGAGGUUAACUGAAUAAGGGAGCCGAAGGGAAACCGAGUCUUAACUGGGCGGAUAGUUGCAAGGUAUAGACCCGAAACCCGGUGAUCUAGCCAUGGGCAGGUUGAAGGUUGGGUAACACUAACUGGAGGACCGAACCGACUAAUGUUGAAAAAUUAGCGGAUGACUUGUGGCUGGGGGUGAAAGGCCAAUCAAACCGGGAGAUAGCUGGUUCUCCCCGAAAUCUAUUUAGGUAGAGCCUUAUGUGAAUACCUUCGGGGGUAGAGCACUGUUUCGGCUAGGGGUCCAUCCCGGAUUACCAACCCGAUGCAAACUGCGAAUACCGAAGAGUAAUGCAUAGGAGACACACGGUGGGUGCUAACGUCCAUCGUGGAGAGGGAAACAACCCAGACCGCCAGCUAAGGUCCCAAAGUCUAUAUUAAGUGGGAAACGAAGUGGGAAGGCUUAGACAGCUAGGAUGUUGGCUUAGAAGCAGCCAUCAUUUAAAGAAAGCGUAAUAGCUCACUAGUCGAGUCGGCCUGCGCGGAAGAUGUAACGGGGCUAAAAUAUAGCACCGAAGCUGCGGCAUCAGGCGUAUCACUAAUACGCCUUACGAUUAACAACAUCGAAUGAAGUGAAACGGAAAGAGAUGUUGGUCAAGCAACCCGAACGUUGAGUCGGAAAGUAAUCGAAGAGAGGAUUAUUAGUGAUACGUCUGUUGGGUAGGGGAGCGUUGUGUAAGCGGAUGAAGGUGAAUCGAGAGGUUUGCUGGACGUAUCAGAAGUGCGAAUGCUGACAUAAGUAACGAUAAAACGAGUGAAAAACUCGUUCGCCGGAAGACCAAGGGUUCCUGUCCAACGUUAAUCGGGGCAGGGUGAGUCGGCCCCUAAGGCGAGGCUGAAAAGCGUAGUCGAUGGGAAACGGGUUAAUAUUCCCGUACUUGGUAAAGCUGCGAUGUGGGGACGGAGAAGGUUAGGUUAGCAGACUGUUGGAUGUCUGUUUAAGUUGGUAGGUGGGGAGUUUAGGCAAAUCCGGACUUCCAUAACACUGAGAGAUGAUGACGAGUUUCUACGGAAAUGAAGUAACUGAUACCACGCUUCCAGGAAAAGCCACUAAGCGAAAGGCUUUACUAAACCGUACUGAAAACCGACACAGGUGGUCAGGUAGAGAAUACUCAGGCGCUUGAGAGAACUCGGGUGAAGGAACUAGGCAAAAUAGCACCGUAACUUCGGGAGAAGGUGCGCUGGCGUAGGUUGUAGGAGUAUACCUCCGAAGGCUGAACCAGUCGAAGAUACCAGCUGGCUGCAACUGUUUAUUAAAAACACAGCACUCUGCAAACACGAAAGUGGACGUAUAGGGUGUGAUGCCUGCCCGGUGCUGGAAGGUUAAUUGAUGGUGUUAUCGAAAGA